RNAcentral lists this unclassified non-coding RNA (246 nucleotides) under Hevea brasiliensis (rubber tree). Lineage: Eukaryota; Viridiplantae; Streptophyta; Magnoliopsida; Malpighiales; Euphorbiaceae. The record is from RNAcentral.
AUAGAAUUGAGAGACAAAAAAUCAGAGUGUCUUUGAAGAGACCAAGCUCCUACUAAGCCGCAGCCGCCAGAGGAACAGACCGAUAACACGCCCUCUUCACAGCACGGACGAUAUCAUCUACCUGUGGAAGCGCCAGACGCUCGAGGUUUGCAGCAUAGGGCAUUGGAACAUCGGAUCCAGCAAGCCUCUCCACUGGUGCAUCCAGAUACUCAAAGCUCUCCUCGACGACAGAAGCGCAGAUUUCAG